Molecule: non-coding RNA, 436 nt
Organism: Acipenser ruthenus (sterlet)
Lineage: Eukaryota; Metazoa; Chordata; Actinopteri; Acipenseriformes; Acipenseridae
Source: the annotation of a RefSeq genome assembly
UCAUGAUUGAGAGCUGCCCUUCAUGGCAACAGAAUCCACAACAACAAUGACUUUUAUCAGCAUCUUCAUCUGGGCACUUGUCAUCUGCACUCAGGAAUCCAGUGGACAGUAUACUGUGACUCAGACUCCAGCAGUGAAAUCUGUUCUCCCAGGAGACACAGUCGUUCUGAGCUGUAAAGUCAGCAGCGCUGUGUACAAUAACAACGAACUAGCCUGGUACCAACAGAAACCUGGAGAAGCUCCCAAACUCCUGAUCUAUGCUGCCAGUACCCUUCAGUCUGGGAUCCCAACUCGUUUCAGUGGCAGUGGAUCUGGGACUGACUUCACUCUGACCAUCAGUGGAGUCCAGGCUGAAGAUGCAGGAGAUUACUACUGUCAGAGUUACCAUUACCUCAACAGUAAAGAUGUGUUCACACAAUCGUUGAUGGUUAGAUAA